UACGAAGGGGGCUAGCGUUGCUCGGAAUCACUGGGCGUAAAGGGUGCGUAGGCGGGUCUUAAGUCAGGGGUGAAAUCCUGGAGCUCAACUCCAGAACGGCCUUUGAUACUGAGGAUCUUGAGUUCGGGAGAGGUGAGUGGAACUGCGAGUGUAGAGGUGAAAUUCGUAGAUAUUCGCAAGAACACCAGUGGCGAAGGCGGCUCACUGGCCCGAUACUGACGCUGAGGCACGAAAGCGUGGGGAGCAAACAGG
RNAcentral lists this ribosomal RNA (252 nucleotides) under uncultured bacterium. RNAcentral describes it as "partial 16S ribosomal RNA". It matches the Rfam family "Bacterial small subunit ribosomal RNA", at positions 524 to 776 of the family's 1533-position model. The record is from RNAcentral.